This 285-nucleotide long non-coding RNA is filed under the name Lathyrus oleraceus (garden pea). RNAcentral's name for it is "Pisum sativum (pea) long non-coding RNA (PSAT_LNC006505)". The record is from RNAcentral. Lineage: Eukaryota; Viridiplantae; Streptophyta; Magnoliopsida; Fabales; Fabaceae.
GCAAAUUUGGUGUGUAUGUCCUCUUUCAACUAUAGAGUGUCAGCCCCUUAAGCAGAAAGAGUUUAACCUUUCUCAUUCCCCACUGAGUUACUUCCUCGUGGAUGAUCAUUAUUUCAGUUUCCUCCCCAAUUGAUCGUCUAGAUGGGAUCACUCUCCCUGAGUUAUAUCCUCAUUGGGUUGAGUCUUUGAUUGACUGUUUCUUUCUAGAUCUUACCUAGAUAGAUGUUUUUGGUCCCCUGAGAGUCUAUUACCCAGUAACUGGUAAUAUUCUUCUCAAUUUGCAAG